GGAGUUGUGGUUCAGCGGUACAGUGCUUGCCUAGCACGCGUGCAAGACCCUGGGUUCGACCCUCAGCACCA
Molecule: transfer RNA, 71 nt
Filed under: Marmota monax (woodchuck)
Lineage: Eukaryota; Metazoa; Chordata; Mammalia; Rodentia; Sciuridae
Description: tRNA.Ala
Source: RNAcentral